RNAcentral lists this long non-coding RNA (644 nucleotides) under Trifolium pratense (red clover). RNAcentral describes it as "long non-coding RNA (TPRA_LNC000282)". Lineage: Eukaryota; Viridiplantae; Streptophyta; Magnoliopsida; Fabales; Fabaceae. The record is from RNAcentral.
GAGGAAAGAAAAUGAAGAAGGAAGAAAAAUACAGAAAUUAAAGAAUGAAUUUAGACUAAACCCUAAUCUAAUUUUAUUCAUCAGUUUUUGUAUUUCCCUUCUUUCUUUCCCUAAAACCAAACACACCAUAAAAGAUCAAUGCAACGUUGAUUUAGUCAAUAUUUUUAUCUAUCUCUGUAGCAUUUGGGACUCAAGGCCUUUCUUGCAGCUCCAACUUUGGCUUUUACUUCUUGCGGUACAACUAGACACAGUCUAUAGACGUCCUACUACAACAAAAACAAAUACAAUCAAUUACAUUUGCAUCAUAUCUUAAAUUUCAAAAACCAAAAAAUAAAUAAAAAAAUAAUAAAAGCCAACCCAGAUCCCAAUUUCAAGCAGGAAACAGAGAGAGAUAGAAACAGACAAGAGAAGUGAAAGUUAGAUUGUAUCAGCUUUCUUUCCUGAAACACUGGCAAGUUAUAAUUAAGGUGAAAGGGAGAGGAGAGGUUAAAAACAACACAGACAUGAUCCCUAAGUUAUUUACCCUUUCCUUUAUUUGUCUCAUGUGAACAUAUCAGUGGUAGCAGGUUUUGUGUGUGUACUGGUCUGGUUACACACUUUCUUUGGAAGCUAAAGGAGUUUUACUAUCUUGGUUUUGUUUUUUU